UGAGGAAUAUUGGUCAAUGGUCGCAGGACUGAACCAGCCAUGCCGCGUGCAGGAAGACGGUCCUAUGGAUUGUAAACUGCUUUUAUACAGGAAGAAACCCUCCACGUGUGGGAGCUUGACGGUACUGUAGGAAUAAGGAUCGGCUAACUCCGUGCCAGCAGCCGCNGGUAAUACGGAGGAUCCAAGCGUUAUCCGGAAUCAUUGGGUUUAAAGGGUCCGUAGGCGGUCUUAUAAGUCAGUGGUGAAAGCCCAUCGCUCAACGAUGGAACUGCCAUUGAUACUGUAAGACUUGAAUGCUUAGAAGUAACUAGAAUAUGUAGUGUAGCGGUGAAAUGCUUAGAUAUUACAUGGAAAUACCCAAUUGCGAAGGCAGGUUACUACUAAAGUGAUUGACGCUGAUGGACGAAAAGCGUGGGGAGCGAACAGGAUUAGAUACCCUGGUAGUCCACCCGUAAACGAUGGAUACUAGCUGUUCGGCGCAAGUUGAGU
Molecule: ribosomal RNA, 489 nt
Filed under: uncultured bacterium
Lineage: Bacteria
Description: partial 16S ribosomal RNA
Rfam family: Bacterial small subunit ribosomal RNA
Source: RNAcentral